ACUCCUACGGGAGGCAGCAGUGGGGAAUAUUGCACAAAUGGGCGCAAGCCUGAUGCAGCCAUGCCGCGUGUGUGAAGAAGGCCUUCGGGUUGUAAAGCACUUUCAGUUGUGGAGGAAGGUGUGUCGUUAANAGCCGGCAUCAUUUGACGUUAGCAACAGAAGAAGCACCGGCUAACUCCGUGCCAGCAGCCGCGGUAAUACGGAGGGUGCGAGCGUUAAUCGGAAUUACUGGGCGUAAAGCGCAUGCAGGUGGCUUUGUUAAGUCAGAUGUGAAAGCCCGGGGCUCAACCUCGGAACUGCAUUUGAAACUGGCAGACUAGAGUACUGGUAGAGGGGGUAGAAUUUCAGGUGUAGCGGUGAAAUGCGUAGAGAUCUGAAGGAAUACCGGUGGCGAAGGCCGGCCCCCUGGACAGAUACUGACACUCAGAUGCGAAAGCGU
RNAcentral lists this ribosomal RNA (439 nucleotides) under uncultured bacterium. RNAcentral's name for it is "bacterial SSU rRNA". It matches the Rfam family "Bacterial small subunit ribosomal RNA", at positions 335 to 762 of the family's 1533-position model. The record is from RNAcentral.